Molecule: ribosomal RNA, 253 nt
Filed under: uncultured bacterium
Lineage: Bacteria
Description: partial 16S ribosomal RNA
Rfam family: Bacterial small subunit ribosomal RNA
Source: RNAcentral
UACGAAGGGAGCUAGCGUUGUUCGGAAUCACUGGGCGUAAAGCGCACGUAGGCGGAUGUGUCAGUCAGGGGUGAAAUCCCGGAGCUCAACUUCGGAACUGCCUUUGAUACAGCACAUCUGGAGUCCGGAAGAGGUGGGUGGAAUUCCUAGUGUAGAGGUGAAAUUCGUAGAUAUUCGCAAGAACACCAGUGGCGAAGGCGGCUCACUGGCCCGAUACUGACGCUGAGGUGCGAAAGCGUGGGGAGCAAACAGG